Molecule: unclassified non-coding RNA, 333 nt
Filed under: soil metagenome
Description: partial contains 5.8S ribosomal RNA, internal transcribed spacer 2, and large subunit ribosomal RNA
Rfam family: 5.8S ribosomal RNA (bases 2-121)
Source: RNAcentral
GGAUGAAGAACGUAGCGAAAUGCGAUAAGUAGUGUGAAUUGCAGAAUUCAGUGAAUCAUCGAAUCUUUGAACGCACAUUGCGCCCUUUGGUAUUCCUUAGGGCAUGCCUGUUCGAGCGUCAUUUAAACCUUCAAGCUAAGCUUGGUGUUGGGUGACUGUCCGCUUCACUGCGGACUCGCCUCAAAAUUAUUGGCGGCCGGUACAUUGGCUUCGAGCGCAGCAGAAACGCGAACUCGGGCCCGUCGUAUUGGCUCCCAGAAGCUAUCUUCACAAUUUUGACCUCGGAUCAGGUAGGGAUACCCGCUGAACUUAAGCAUAUCAAUAAGCGGAGGA